This is a non-coding RNA of Culex pipiens (northern house mosquito), 47 nucleotides long. Lineage: Eukaryota; Metazoa; Arthropoda; Insecta; Diptera; Culicidae. The record is from Rfam.
AAAACGGCCCUUUUCAGGGCCAUAAUAUGUAUCACGAAAGAGUAACU